Molecule: ribosomal RNA, 2553 nt
Filed under: Triticum aestivum (bread wheat)
Lineage: Eukaryota; Viridiplantae; Streptophyta; Magnoliopsida; Poales; Poaceae
Description: partial small subunit ribosomal RNA
Source: RNAcentral
AUGAAUGCAUACUCAUGGGAGACCUAUGAGAUCGGAAACUCCGGCAUCACAGAACAAUGGUUCUGCAGUGUUGCUGUUUAUACAUCGGUGAAGAUGAAGGGGCUCGGCUUUGCCUUUUUGCUUCUUGCACUUGUGCCACAAGUGGUACUCGGGACGCAUGAUGUGUACAUUGUUACCAUGGUUGGCGACCCGGUUGUGAGCUACACAGGCGUAGUUGAAGGAUUUCCAGCGACCGCGGCGGAUUUGGAUGAAGAGAUGGAUGUUACCAGUGAGGCUGUCACAUCGUACUCUCUUCAUCUCCGAAGGCACCAUGAGAAGCUUCUGGACUCGCUUUUUGUAGCGGGAACUUACGAGAAGCUUUAUAGCUACCAUCAUCUUAUUAAUGGGUUUGCAGUUCACAUGUCAUCUUUGCAGGCUGAUUUCUUAAGGAAAGCCCCAGGUGUUAAGUACGUGGAGAGAGAUACAAAGAUACAGAAAUUGACAACACACACUCCACAGUUUCUUGGAUUGACAACAGCGGUAUGGCCAACAGGAGGUGGAUUUGAUAGAGCAGGCGAAGAUGUGGUGAUUGGUUUUGUGGAUUCAGGAAUUUAUCCUGAACAUCCAAGCUUCUCUACCCACAGAACUGAUCCUUAUGGACCUGUUCCUCGUUACAAGGGGAAAUGUGAGAUAGAUCCAGCAACACAAAGAAGCUUCUGCAAUGGGAAGAUAGUUGGGGCCCAACAUUUUGCAAAAGCUGCAAUUGCUGCUGGAGCAUUUAAUCCCGAUGUUGAGUUUGCAUCUCCAUUAGACGGCGAUGGUCAUGGAAGNNNNNNNNNUGCAAUUGCUGCUGGAAACAAUGGGAUUCCGGUGCGAAUGCAUGGCUACGAAUUUGGCAAAGCAAGUGGCAUGGCUCCACGAGCUAGGAUAGCUGUGUACAAGGUUCUUUACAGGCUUUUUGGUGGUUAUGUAUCUGACGUUGUGGCAGCGAUUGAUCAGGCUGUUCAAGAUGGUGUUGACAUUCUCAACCUUUCUGUUGGACCAAAUAGCCCACCAACAGCUACACGGACUACUUUUCUCAAUCCUUUUGAUGCAGCGCUUCUUUCUGCCGUAAAAGCUGGCGUGUUUGUUGCUCAAGCUGCAGGAAAUGGAGGACCAUUUCCAAAAACACUGGUUUCAUUCAGCCCAUGGAUAACCACUGUUGCCGCUGGAGUUGAUGACCGCAGAUACAAGAAUCAUUUGAUACUAGGAAAUGGAAAGCGUAUUGCUGGACUUGGAGUAUCACCUGCCACACAUGGAAAUAAAUCGUUUGGCCUGAUUUCUGCUACUGAUGCUCUGCUGGGUUCAUCUUCAACCAAGUACAGUGCACUAGAUUGUCAAAGGCCAGAACUCUUAAAUAAGAGGAAAGUUCAGGGGAAAAUUCUAUUGUGCGGCUAUUCUUUUAAUUAUAUUUCUGGGAUGGCUUCAAUCAAGAAAGUGUCUCAAACAGCCAAGAGUCUAGGUGCAGCUGGCUUUGUUGUUGCUGUAGAAGAUAGUUACCCAGGGACAAAGUUUGAUCCUGUGCCUGUCAAUAUUCCUGGGAUUCUCAUCACAGAUGUCAGCAAAACAAAGGAUCUUAUAGACUACUACAACUCUUCUACAACAAGAGACUGGGCUGGACGGGCUACAGCGUUCCAAGCAACAGUCGGUAUUGCAGAUGGUUUGGCACCAACACUGUUCAAUUCAGCUCCCCAGGUUGCGUUGUUCUCUUCCCGAGGGCCUGAUGUAAAGGAUUUUAGCUUUCAAGAUGCUGAUGUUCUUAAACCUGAUAUACUUGCUCCUGGCAAUCUUAUAUGGUCCGCAUGGGCGCCUAAUGGAACAGAUGAAGCAAACUACGCUGGAGAAGGAUAUGCAAUGAUGUCUGGAACUAGCAUGGCUGCACCACAUAUUGCUGGCAUUGCAGCACUAAUAAAACAGAAGUACCCCAAGUGGAGCCCGUCAGCAAUAAAGUCCGCCUUGAUGACUACUGCCAAUACGAUCGACAAAGGGAGCCAUCCUCUCAGAGCGCAGCAAUACUCCACGUCGGAAAUGAUGACGCUUGCACGGGCCACACCUUUUGAUUAUGGCAGUGGCGCGGUUAACCCAAGAGCUGCCCUGGAUCCUGGACUAGUUCUAGAUGCAACUCACCAAGAUUACAUCACAUUUCUGUGUUCCAUCCCUGACGUCGAUCCAAGCGAAGUAUCAAACAUAACCGGCUCACGCUGCGGCUCUGACUCAAAGGGGCAGCGGCCCUACGACCUCAACAUCCCCUCGAUCACGGUCUCUCAGCUCAAAGGCAUCCAGACCGUGAAGCGGACGGUCACGAACGUGGCCGACGAGGCGGAAACCUACACCAUCAUGACCAGGAUGUCGCCGGAGAUCGCGCUGGACGUCUCGCCUCCCGCGCUGACGGUGCUCCCCGGGUCAUCUAGAGAGAUCACUGUGACCCUCACGACGAGGUCGGUGACCGGCACCUACAGUUUCGGCGAGAUCACGAUGAAGGGCGACCGGCGCCACCUAGUCAGGAUCCCUGUGGUUGCUAUGGGGUUCAAAUAG